UUCCGGUUGAUCCUGCCAGAUCCGACUGCUAUCCGGGUAAGACUAAGCCAUGCAAGUCGAACGGAACAGCGUGUUCCGUGGCGAACUGCUCAGUAACAAGUGAUCAACUUACCCUUCAGUGGGGCAUAACCUCGGGAAACUGAGGCUAAUUCCCCAUAGUUGGAGCCGCCUGGAACGGUGCUCCAUCAAAAGAUACUCCGGAUUGUAGGAGAUUUGCUGAAGGAUAGGAUCGCUUUCGAUUAUGGUUGUUGGCGAGGUAAUGGCUCACCAAGCCUAUGAUCGAUAGGGGCCGUGAGAGCGGUAGCCCCGAGAUGGGAACUGAGACAAUGUCCCAGGCCUUACGAGGCGCAGUAGGCGCGAAACCUUUACAAUGCACGCAAGUGUGAUAAGGUUACCCGGAGUGCCAGGAGAUAAACUUCUGGCUGUUACAGGUGUGUAAAUAACCCUGUGAGAAAGGAGAGGGCAAGGCUGGUGCCAACCGCCGCGGUAAAACCAGCUCUUCAAGUGGUCGGGAAUAUUAUUGGGCUUAAAGUGUCCGUAGCCGGUUUGAUAAGUUCCUGGUUAAAUCUGGCAGCUUAACUGUCAGUUGGCUAGGAAUACUAUCUUACUAGAGGGUGGGAAAGGUUUGAGGUACUCCAGGGGUAGCGGUGAAAUGCUAUAAUCCUUGGGGGACCACCAGUGGCGAAGGCGUCAGACUGGAACACGCCUGACGGUGAGGGACGAAAGCCAGGGGAGCGAACGGGAUUAGAUACCCCGGUAGUCCUGGCCGUAAACGAUGCGUGCUAGGUGUUGGUAGGGCUAGGAGCCGUAUCAGUGCCGUAGGGAAACUGUUAAGCGCGCCGCCUGGGAAGUACGCUCGCAAGGGUGAAACUUAAAGGAAUUGGCGGGGGAGCACCACAAGGGGUGAAGCCUGCGGUUCAAUUGGAUUCAACGCCGGA
RNAcentral lists this ribosomal RNA (938 nucleotides) under uncultured crenarchaeote. Its description in RNAcentral is "bacterial SSU rRNA". It matches the Rfam family "Archaeal small subunit ribosomal RNA", at positions 1 to 922 of the family's 1478-position model. The record is from RNAcentral. Lineage: Archaea; Thermoproteati; Thermoproteota.